Pelobates cultripes (western spadefoot toad) is the source of this 271-nucleotide non-coding RNA. The record is from the annotation of a GenBank genome assembly. Lineage: Eukaryota; Metazoa; Chordata; Amphibia; Anura; Pelobatidae.
CACGGAACAGAACCUGCCCAGCAUGAAAAUUUACCAUGAAUUACAACGCUCUGUAUUCUAUGUCCUUUAAGCCACUGUUAUAGCCAAGGGCAAGAAGUCUCCUCUAGACCAAUUUCUUUUGGUUUGAACACUAACCUAUUGUGUGGAACUGUAUCAAACGUUUCGGUAAAUACAAGGAAAUCACACCCACUGCAACACCCCGAUCUAUACUUCUACUUACUUCUUCGCAGAAGGCAAUUAGGGUUAGUUUGACGAACUAUGUUUGCUAAAA